UUCCAGACUCCUACGGGAGGCAGCAGUGAGGAAUAUUGGUCAAUGGGCGGGAGCCUGAACCAGCCAUGCCGCGUGAAGGCGAGUGCCCUACGGGCGUUAAACUUCUUCUGUGCGGGAGCAAUAAGGGCCACGCGUGGCCCGAUGAGAGUACCGCACGAAUAAGCAUCGGCUAACUCCGUGCCAGCAGCCGCGGUAAUACGGGGGAUGCGAGCGUUAUCCGGAUUUAUUGGGUUUAAAGGGUGCGUAGGCGGACAGUCAAGUCAGCGGUAAAAAUGCGGUGCUCAACGCCGUCGAGCCGUUGAAACUGGCGUUCUUGAGUGGGCGAGAAGUAUGCGGAAUGCGUGGUGUAGCGGUGAAAUGCAUAGAUAUCACGCAGAACUCCGAUUGCGAAGGCAGCAUACCGGCGCCCUACUGACGCUCAGGUACGAAAGCGUGGGUAUCGAACAGGAUUAGAUACCCGGGUA
RNAcentral lists this ribosomal RNA (464 nucleotides) under uncultured bacterium. RNAcentral describes it as "partial 16S ribosomal RNA". It matches the Rfam family "Bacterial small subunit ribosomal RNA", at positions 329 to 792 of the family's 1533-position model. The record is from RNAcentral.